UGAAUACUAAAGGACAUCAUUGGCUAAUGAAUGCUAGACUCACCAAGUUCCAAAGUUUGCUCUGUGAAAAUCCCCAUAUAACCGCUGAAGUUUGUAACAUCCUGAACCCCACCACCUUGCUCCCGGUAUCAGAGAGCACUGUCGAGCAUGAUUGUGUAGAAGUGUUAGACUCAGUUUACUCUAGCAGACCUGACCUCCGGGACCAGCCUUGGGCAUCAGUAGACUGGGAACUACACGUGGACGGGAGCAGCUUCAUCAACCCACAAGGAGAGAGAGGUGCAGGGUGUGCGGUGGUAACCCUGGACACUGUUGUUGAAGCCAGAUCAUUGCCCUAGGGCACUUCAGCCCAGAAAGCUGAACUCAUUGCUUUAAUUCGGGCCUUAGAACUCAGUGAAGGUAAGACUGUAAACGUUUACACUGAUUCUCCGUAUGCCUUUUUAACCCUUCAAGUGCAUGGAACAUGAUAUAAAGAAAAGGGCCUAUUGAACUCUGGGGGAAAAGACAUAAAAUAUCAACAAGAAAUCUUGCAAUUAUUAGAAGCAGUAUGGAAACCCCACAAGGUGUCAGUUAUGCAUUGCAGAGGACACCAGCGAGCUUCCACCUUGGUGGGUUUGGGGAAUUCCCUCGCUGACCCAGAGGCUCGAAAAGCAGCAACUGCCCCCUUCCGGGCAUCAGUCACAGCCCCUCUGCUCCCUCAAGCACCUGAUCUUGCACCUACUUAUUCUAAAGAAAAGGACUUUCUCCAGGAAGAUGGAGGACAAGUGAUGCAGGAAGGAUGGAUUUGGUUACCAGAUGGGAGAGUAGCUGUGCCACAGCUGUUAGGAGCUGCAGUUGUACUGGCUGUGCAUAAAACCACCCAUCUAGGCCAGGAGUCACUUGAAAAGUUGUUAGGCUGGUAUUUCUACAUCUCACAUUUGUCAGCCCCUGCCAAAAUAGUGACGCAGCAGUGUGUUACCUGCUGACAGCAUAAUGCGAGGCAAGGUCCAGCCAUUCCACCCGGCAUACAGGCUUAUGGAGCAGCCCCCUUUGAAGAUCUCCAGGUAGAUUCCACAGAGAUGCCAAAGUGUGGAGUAACCCGUGUGCUUCUUCGAGAUCUUAUUCCUAGAUUUGGACUGCCCUUACGGAUCGGCUCAGAUAACGGGCCGGCAUUUGUGGCUGACUUGAUACAGAAGACAGCAAAGGUAUUGGGGAUCACAUGGAAACUGCAUGCCGCCUACCAGCCUCAGAAUUCCGGAAAGGUGGAGUGGAUGAAUCGGACUAUCAAAAAUAGUUUAGGGAAAGUAUGUCAGGAUACAGGAUUAAAAUGGAUAUAGGCUCUCCCUAUGGUAUUAUUUAAAAUUAGAUGUACCCCUUCUAAAAGAACAGGAUAUUCCCCUUAUAAAAUAUUAGGCCCCCUCCCAUAUUGCGGGGACUUCCAGGCACUCCCCGAGAGUUAGGUGAAAUUGAGUUACAGUGACAGCUACAGGCUCUAGGAAAAAUUGCACAAACAAUCUCAGCCUGGGUAAAUGAGAGAUGCCCUGUUAGCUUAUUCUCCCCAGUUUACCCUUUCUCCCCAGGUGAUCAAGUAUGGAUUAAAGACUGGAAUGUAGCUUCUUUGUGCCCAUGGUGGAUAGGACCCCAGAUUGUCAUCCUGACCACUCUCACCGCUGUGAAGGUAGAAGGAAUCCCAGCCUGGAUCCACCACAGCCAUGUAAAACCUGCAGCGCCUGAAACCUGGGAGGCAAGACCAAGCCCGGACAACCCUUGCAGAGUGACCUUGAAGAUGAUGACAAGCCCUGCUCCAGUCACACCCAGAAGCUGACUAGUCCAUGCACGGCCGAAGCAUGAGGAAGCUCAUCGUGGAACUCAUUUUUCUUAAAUUUUGGACUUGUACAGUAAGGACUUCAACUGACCUUCCUCAGACUGAGGUAGGGCAAAAAGUUAAAACAGUCUUUCUGUUUAAAAGGGACUUGUGUGUAUAAUGCCACCCAGUACAAGGUAUGCAGCUCAGGAAGUGACCAGACUCAAGUGUGCUACAACCCAGUAGAACUACUUAAUCCCCAUUGGAAAACAAGAGAGUAUGUAACUCUAGGAGUCAAUGGAAUUGGACUGGCAGGAAGACCUAGGUAAUGUAGGUGGAAGUGAGAACUCCCACUAGUGAGUGAGGUUCUCAAAGGGGAGAAUGAGGAGGGAAGCCAUUUCUCUUACUGUCUCCUGUCUCUGAAGAACAGGAGGAAGUAAAAGUUGAAAAACAACAGGAAGGAAGUCAGUGGCAAGACCAGCCAGUGCCACUGAUGACCUGGCCUGAGGUUAAAAGGUUAACCACCCCCCUCUCCUCUAACCACAUGUGCUCUCAAUCCAUCACGACCCUUUCAUGUGGAACCCCUUAGAGUUGUAAGCCCUUAAAAGGGCCAGGAACUCUGUCUUCGGGGAGCUCGGCUCUUAAGAUGCGAGUCUGCCAACGCUCCCAGCCAAAUAAAAACCUCUUCCUUCUUCAA
Molecule: long non-coding RNA, 2477 nt
Organism: Homo sapiens (human)
Lineage: Eukaryota; Metazoa; Chordata; Mammalia; Primates; Hominidae
Product: long independently transcribed non-coding RNA 2635
Exons: 2
Source: RefSeq, a predicted model, not a curated record